GCUUGUCUCAAAGAUUAAGCCAUGCAUGUCUAAGUAUAAGCAUUAUACAGUGAAACUGCGAAUGGCUCAUUAUAUCAGUUAUAGUUUAUUUGAUAGUCCCUACUACAUGGAUAACCGUAGUAAUUCUAGAGCUAAUACAUGCGCUAACUCCUGACUGCUUUGCGGAAAGGACGUAUUUAUUAGAUACAACCAGCCCUUCGGGUCUUCGGUGAAUCAUAAUAACUGAGCGAACCGCAUGCUAACGCGGCGGUGGUUCAUUCAAGUUUCUGCCCUAUCAGCUUUCGAUGGUAGGGUAUUGGCCUACCAUGGCGUUAACGGGUAACGGAGAAUUAGGGUUCGGUUCCGGAGAGGGAGCCUGAGAGAUGGCUACCACAUCCAAGGAAGGCAGCAGG
Molecule: ribosomal RNA, 392 nt
Filed under: uncultured Bicosoecida
Lineage: Eukaryota; Bigyra; Bicosoecida
Description: partial small subunit ribosomal RNA
Rfam family: Eukaryotic small subunit ribosomal RNA
Source: RNAcentral